GGCGGCAUGCCUAACACAUGCAAGUCGAACGGCAGCACAGCAGAGCUUGCUCUGUGGGUGGCGAGUGGCGGACGGGUGAGUAAUGCAUCGGGACCUACCUSAACGUGGGGGAUAACGUAGGGAAACUUACGCUAAUACCGCAUACGUCCUACGGGAGAAAGCRGGGGACCUUCGGGCCUCGCGCGGUCAGACGGACCGAUGUUCGAUUAGCUAGUUGGUAAGGUAAUGGCUUACCAAGGCGACGAUCGAUAGCUGGUCUGAGAGGAUGAUCAGCCACACUGGAACUGAGACACGGUCCAGACUCCUACGGGAGGCAGCAGUGGGGAAUAUUGGACAAUGGGCGCAAGCCUGAUCCAGCAAUGCCGCGUGUGUGAAGAAGGCCUUCGGGUUGUAAAGCACUUUUAUCAGGAACGAAAUACYAYUGGUUAAUAACCGGUGGGGCUGACGGUACCUGAGG
This 457-nucleotide ribosomal RNA is filed under the name gamma proteobacterium BAL229. RNAcentral's name for it is "bacterial SSU rRNA". It matches the Rfam family "Bacterial small subunit ribosomal RNA", at positions 38 to 484 of the family's 1533-position model. The record is from RNAcentral. Lineage: Bacteria; Pseudomonadati; Pseudomonadota; Gammaproteobacteria.